UACUAUGAUUAUUGAUUAAUAUUAUUAUGAUACUGGGUUUUAACUCUGGACCAGUCCAUCUCUGUCUCUCCAUUUCCUUUUAUACACAGACUUUGAGAUCUGCCACGGAGGCAGCUGCUGCGGAAGAAGAAUUUAAAUGGCUUUUACAAGAAGAGGUCCAUGCUGUUUUGAAACAGCUGCAGGAUAUUUUGAAGGAGGCCUCUCAGCGGUUCACCCUGCCCGCCAGCGGCUCAGGAGGAGCUGUCAAGCAGGAGAACUUUGUGCUGAGCACAUCGGGCACAGACCAGGUGAAAGGUGUGUUGACGCUGCAGGGAGAUGCCCUGUGUCAAGCUGACGUUAAUCUGAAAAUGCCCAGAAAUAAUCAGCUCCUGCACUUCGCAUUUCGGGAAGACAAGCAGUGGAAAUUGCAGCAGAUCCAGGAUGCUAGAAACCAUGUUAACCAAGCCAUUUACCUGCUUAUGAACAGAGACGUAAACUACCAGUUCAAAACAGGCUCGGAAGUUCUCAAGCUUAUGGAUGCUGUGAUGUUACAGCUCUCAAGAGCCCGAAAUCGGCUUACCACUCCAGCCACUUUGACUCUACCAGAGAUUGCCUCCAGUGGUCUCACUAAAAUGUUCACCCCUGCUCUGCCUCCAGACAUCCUUGUGAAUUUCUAUAUUAACCUGAAUAAGCUGUGCCUGACUGUCUACCAACUCCAUGUGCUGCAGCCCAGCACAACCAAGAACUUCAAGCCUGCUGGAGGAUCCAUUUUACACAACCCUGGAGCCAUGUUUGAGUUUGGCAACCAGCGGUAUGAAGUCAGCCAUGUCCAUAAAGUGGAAUGUGUUGUACCAUGGUUAAAUGAUGCCCUUGUCUUCUUCACAGUUUCACUGCAGCUUUGCCAGCAACUGAAGGAUAAGAUAUCUGUUUUCUCCAGUUACUGGAACUACAGGCCAUAUUAAUUCUCUGUGGAGUGUCCAAGACCUUACAGUACUUCCAGUGUCUCUCUUUUUGUUUUCAACGUGCCAGCUGAGUCCAGGUCAGCCUGAGGAGCGCUGUGGUUCGCUACCAUGUGGCCCUCUGUAGGGUAGGGUCAGUGUAUUCAGAGACACAAUUUCAGUAGGCUUGUCUGGGACUGCUGCAUAAGCAGGGCACCAAGCAAUGCUGUGUGCCCUAGUUGGGCCAAUUGGUUUUUUCCAGGUUUAGUAUCUUGUUUUCACUGCCAGCCUUUGGAGCUGCCUCGGUACCUUGAGCACAACUGUGCAGUCUCACAUCCUGUCAUUAAACCCAAAGAGAAGAGUUCUGCUUUGAAAGCUCUAGCGGUAACUAGAGCUUUGCUAAAGGCCAUGGCUAUCAACCUGACUCAAGCCAAGGAAAAUCAAACCUGGUUCCUUAAUGAUGAAGGUGAGGCAGAGAAGUUGUUUCCUGAUGAGAUGGAGCAGCUGGAGGCUGUGUGGUUAGCUGGAGAAAUGUGGUUGGCUGCAGAACUUCACUAACACUAAUGAAGGAUGGGAUGCAGAGGGACUGCACUGGAGUUGUCUCCUGGAAAACUCAUACGUGUGCAUGACCUCGGAGCCUGAACUAGAAACAGCAACCCUUGGUGAUCGGCCAAAGGAGAGGUUGCCUGCUGUGCGUGAGUUACAUUGGUCUCAAAGCAGGCACCACCAGGUGAUACCAGAUAAAAUGCCCAUCAGGAGCCCCAAAGAGCCCCCAUCUCCUGCUUAGGCCCUUUACAGUCGAUCAGACUGGAAGGAGGCAGCUGCUUAAAGUGGAAGGGGAAGAUCCUGUUUCAUUAGCAAGGGCUCAGUGGGACUAAAGAACAGCCUCAUGUAGCAUCUGGUUCCUCUUCGCCUGAGCCCAAGGUUUCCUCUGCCUGGUUUGCUCCUGAGCUGAGUCCGAUGUUGUUGAUGCACCAGGCAUGGUAUGACUUGGCAGAGGUGGGACCUGUAAACCUUGGAGUGGCUACUGGUUUUCUGUUGUUUUGUGAGUAUUGACUAAGUAUUUCUGGGCUGGGGGGAGCUCUCUGUCACUAAUUACAGCUGCCUGGCAGAGGUGCCAGGGGAUUCCUUGCCUGGCAGGAACAAAACCAAUAAAAGUAGUUUGUUUAUGGCACUCACCAUUGGGUGAAUUUACUACAGCAGCCAAGAGCAAAUCCUGAGAGUCCUGUAUCAAACAGGCUGAAAAUUGAUCUCUAGCUUGUUGAAUCCAACUCUUUUGUGAAUGAAAGGGAGUAAAUCACUGUUCAUCCCCUUUGCCUUACCAGAGGGAGCCUCAAAAGGCUGCCCUGAUGGUGGAGGAGCAGGGAAGGAUAGGAGAGUAACAUGUUUUUCACAGAGGACAGAAGAAAGUAAGGCCUCGUACCAGGGCCAGGGGUUUCAGCAUGCAUAUCUGAGAAGCUUCCUUAAGAAUCAAGAUGGGGACUUGCCAGAAGCACUUGCGAGAGGGCACUCCAUUGUUGGAAGUGCACAACAUGCAAGUGCACUCAUGCUUGCUGGGCAAGCUGCUGCCCUGGAUACCCUGCUCUGCCAGCCAGACUCUUGCUGCCUGGCUGUGGUUGGAGUGUAGGCUCUUUGGGACAGGGACCACCUCUGCUCUGGGUUCCUACAGCAUUGUGCAUGUGUAGUGGGGGACCAUAGCUGGGAUUUCCAAGCUGUUCUGCAAUGGAGCUGGUAGCAAUGCUGGACAAGUGGCAGGGCUUUGCCAAUGGGACUGGGAAGGUAUGAGGAGAAUGUAGCAGGCUGGUUUUGAGGCCCAGACAUGUUUUGGUCUGUACAGGUCCCAGUGCUAGAGCUGGAAGGAAGGUAUGCAUUACCCCAGUGUUUGCCCAGGUCUAUGAGAUUGGGAUCAUCUGUUGGAAAGGUAGGGUAGCCCCUGAGUUAGUGAGGAGAGUUGGUUGGACUAUAUUGAGCACAGCAAGGAAGGAGUGGUAAGUUAUUCCCAGUUUUGACUGCCUAGGUGCUAGCCUCUGGUGUGGAAGUGUCUCACACUUGCAGAUUUUGGCCUCAUAAAGCUUGGCUGUUGUGAGUUACCAUCAGUCACAAUGAGAAAUAUGUUUCUCAGAUCAAGUGUUCCUUGGCUUCUCAGUCAGCUGGAGUGGCUUUUGGUUGAGAACCUCUGGGUAAGGAUGAAGGGGAAAGCAAAUAAAGCAGAUGUUACUGUAGGAGUCUACUAUUGACCACCCAGCCAGGACAACAACACCGAUGAAUUAUUAUCUACAAGUAAUUAAGGGAUAUCUCUAGAUCAACUGCCCUUCUCCUUAUGGGUGAUUUUAACUUCCCAGACAUCAACUGGGAAUAUCAUACAGCAGACACAAACAGGUCCAGGAAAUUUCUGAUGCACAUUGAAGGUAACUUCUUGGUACAAGUACUGAGGGAGCCAACUAGGAAAGGGGCCUUCCUAGAUUUGUAGUUUGUAACCAGAGAGGGACUCGUGGGUGAAGUGGUGAUUGGUGGCUGGCUUGGUCACAGUGACCACAAAGUAGUUGAGUUUCAAAGUGUUGGUGAUAGGAGAAAAACUGCCAGCAAAAUUUCAACGCUGGAUAUGGGGAGAGCAGACUUCAGGCUGCUGAGGGGGCUAGUCAGUAAGAUCCCCUGGGAAUCUGCUUUUGAAGGUAUUGGGGUCCAUGAAUGCUGGUCACUUUUUAAGAGCCAUCUCUUAAGAGCGCAGGAGCAGGCAAUUCCAAAGUGUCAGAAGUCAUGCAAGUAUGGCAGAAGGCCGGCUUGGCUGAGCAGGGAUCAUCUUUCAGAAUUUAUGCAGAAAAAGAAAGCGUACAGACAUUGGAAGCAAGGACAGGCAACACGGGAGGACCACAGGGAUGCUGUUCGCCACUGUAGGGAGAAAAUUUGUGUGGCCAAAGCUCGAUUAGAGUUCAAGCUGGCCAGCACUGUGAAGGACAACAAAAAGAGCUUUUUAAAAUAUGUUAACAGCAAAAGGAGAACCAGAGGUAACAUUGAUGAGGUCAGUCAACUCACAAAUAGAGACGCAGAAAAAGCAGAGAUGUUUAAUGCCUUCUUUGCCUCUGUCUUUAACACCCAUGAUGGGCUCUGGGGCCACCAGAGCCCUGUGUUGGAAGACCAUGACUGAGGGUAUGAUAAAAUCCUAGCUGACCCUGAACUUGUUUGAGACUUGCUGCUCCA
RNA transcript from Haliaeetus leucocephalus (bald eagle), 4115 nucleotides. It is a transcript of the gene named rogdi homolog (Drosophila), with no coding region annotated. Lineage: Eukaryota; Metazoa; Chordata; Aves; Accipitriformes; Accipitridae. The transcript is spliced from 13 exons. The record is from RefSeq and is a predicted model, not a curated record.